GGAGUUUGGGCCGUGUCUCAGUCCCAAUGUGGCCGUCCGACCUCUCAGUCCGGCUACAGAUCGUCGCUUUGGUGGGCCGUUACCCCGCCAACUGGCUAAUCUGACGCGGGCCCAUCUCGUACCACCGGAGUUUUUCACACCGUGUCAUGCGACACUGUGCGCUUAUGCGGUAUUAACAGUCGUUUCCAACUGUUAUCCCCCGGUACGAGGCAGGUUGCCCACGCGUUACUCACCCGUCCGCCACUAAGAUUUAACAAGAUUCUGCCGAAGCUUCAUCAGCGUUAAAUCUCCGUUCGACUUGCAUGUGUUAGGCACGCCGCCAGCGUUCAUC
RNAcentral lists this ribosomal RNA (331 nucleotides) under uncultured Butyrivibrio sp. Its description in RNAcentral is "partial 16S ribosomal RNA". Lineage: Bacteria; Bacillati; Bacillota; Clostridia; Lachnospirales; Lachnospiraceae. The record is from RNAcentral.